This is a long non-coding RNA of Gasterosteus aculeatus aculeatus (three-spined stickleback), 3714 nucleotides long. NCBI's taxonomy places the organism in Eukaryota, Metazoa, Chordata, Actinopteri, Perciformes, Gasterosteidae. The record is from Ensembl.
GUGCCAUGCAGAGAAAUUGGGGUUUCGCCAUGAAUUUAUUGACUUUAACAUCUAAUUUAGGCCCCGCCCUCUUCUGACCCGCGGCUCACCUCCUCAAUGAGAAUCUCUAUUUGAGGCUCCUUUACUUCCACUGCUGUCAGUCGGAUAUUUUUAAAAAGAAUUUCUCCUUUCAGGAUUAAAAAGCCUACGACAGGAAUUUUCUUGCAUAAUAUGAACAAACGCCUCUUCAAUGUCCAAAAUCGAUAAAUGUUAAAGGUUUGUUUGCUUUUGCCAGAAUGACGUUCAAGCUGCUGGGAAUGCAACUACCCCUCUAACCUUCGGCCUGGGAGGGGGGGGGGGCGACCCACCUUACCUUCCUCCGCGGCUCUAUAAUCAAAGUCAAUACUUCCUCCUCCACUGGACCAGAGUGUUGAUCAGUUCUACCCCCAGGGGGCUUCGCCUGCUGACCCCCGUCUGCGGCAUCCGACCACUAAUGCGUUCGCUGUAAGAAAAUCAGACUACAUAUUACACACGGGUGUAAUUUAUAGUCAUUUUGGUAUAAACGUCCACAUUACACACUGAUCGUGUGCUGCUUUACAGAUUCGAAUGGAAGCUGUGAUUCCAUCACUGUAUCUCAUUUUACAAAAUACAUCAUCCACUAAAAUACAUCCACUCUUUACAUUUGCAUCAAAUGUCCUUUGUCAAAUCAAAAGAGAUGAGAGUCUCAUCAAAGUUGUAUGACCAAGCCGUGACUCUCCGGAGAGGACACACACACACACGCCAAGAAGUCCUUUGUGGCAUGAAAAUGAUGAUGAAAGGCGCGCAUGGUAGCGACGCGCUCUCCUCUCUCUGCCUAACCUUUCUGAAAUGCUCGUGACACUCUUCCUCCCCCCCCGGGCUCCUCGUCUGCCUCCCUCAGCGCCGUUGUGCAGAAUUAGCCAUGCGAGGAAAACCCGCUAGUCUGUUGUCGAAUGAUUCACAUGGAUGAGCCUCGGAAAGACGAGCCCGAGAGCUAAUUGGUAUUCAGGGGGACCCGGCGCCACCUGUUCCAGAGACCUCGCCUCCUGGGGAAAGUUGGAGCGCAAUCGCAGCUGAUGAAAAGCUGAUAACGUCUAUUAGCCGACUUUAAUUACCCCUUUGCCUGCAUCGCUAAGCCGAUUUAUUUUUGUUAAUUUGUUGAUCCGGUUGCAGGAUCUCACACUCGGAGAGCUUCUGUGCGAUCGAUUCUCAAGACUCAAACGACUUGGGAGGCAUUGAACUCUGAACUAGAACCAAAAAAGCCACCUUGUAUUUUGGGCUUUUCUGUCCAAGCAGAAGGAAAGCUGGAGGAGGAGGCCAUGGUUGAACGCGGCAGGGGGGCUUUCUUCUCGCCUCCACUUUUACACUGAUCUACUGUUAUAGUGACAGGAACAUCUGCUGGUGGGACGAGAAGCUCCAGUGAAAAGUGUGACUGACGGCUCCACUUGUCCCUCAUCUCCUACUCGUUAUUUUUAUUCUCUCUGUUGUUUAGUGGAGGCAACUUGGUGGCAGUGUCAGCUGGAGUGCAGAGGGGGGCGACUGAACCUUCUAAGUGGGAGAGGAAGCUUCUUAACUCGGUCUGCGAGGAGUUCACGCUGACACCUACGGGAAUGAAGUGGAACCUCCACGCAGCGCAGCAGCAGCCCCCCUCCACACGGAGGAAACUACUCAUUUAUUUUCAUUUAUCUUUAUUAGAUGCAGGCGUACAGAGUUCUUGUUUACCAGCGGCCCUGUUAGACGUUCGCUCCCUUCCUCUGCACCGGCUGUCCUCCACUUGCUGAACGGGCCUCCCUGCGCGUUGCUUCCUGCUCCUUCGUGUACCUUCCUGUUUUCUUCAAGGUCAUCUGACGACCGGCUUAUGUUCCGGGCCGGUUCGCCGCUAAUCUGGUCCGUUCGGCUGUGAUGAUCUGCGAUCGUGGCCAUAAUGAAAAAACUGAACUGUCCAACUGAAGAAAAUUCAGUGCAUGUGUUCACAUCCAUAGAUCAUUGUGAGUUGUGACCGGCCUCCUGCCCUGACAGUCGUCCUGAGAGCAUUUGUGUGUUGGGGAUCCGCUCUGUCGCUUCAUGACCGGGGGACAUUCAGAAAGAGCAAAGGUUCAUUGUUCAUCUCUUAAAAGGGUUGGCAGGGCUGCCACAGACUGACAGGAGGCCAGUGACCCGGCGCCACCGUCUUUUCUCUCUUUCAAGCGCAAAACACCAGCGUGAAAGCUUUUUAAACUCUGGAAGACUAGGCUUGGUUAGAGAUCGAUGCAGUGCUUUCUGCAACAUUUAUUGGCUUGUUCGUUUUGAAAAUGUUCUUGUCUCUUCUACUUGUGCGCGUUGGGGAUUGUCUUUGUGUGAGACAAGGACAACAUUUUAGAUCAAGGGAACUCUGGUGGAGUAAAUCGCUUCAUAUAUCAACUCAAUAUCUUAUUUAAGACUCGCAGGAGGAUUCCUAAAAAUAUCAGAAGAAGAAUAAUAUUAAACCAAAAACAGUCAUAAUUUAUUCAUAAAGACACAAUCCUAUGUAGGCUACUAUAGACAACUGGGGAUAUGAUCGUAAUUCAUUUUUACAAAUACCAUGUAUACAUAAAAAUGUUACUUUGUAAAAAACACACACAGCUAAAGCAGAGAGACCAAUUUGAUGAAUAACCAUUUUGGCUUUAAAUUGUCUAACAUUCAUGUAUAAUGAAUAAUCUUGGUUCUUCUGUUUUAAACUGAAUUACAACGAGGACGUCAAGUCCUGGGAAAGAUGUUCUUCUGCUCUUUGUUGACUGAAUUUCCCCUGAGUUCUUGCAGAAGUUUGACAAUGGCAGACGAUCAAUUACCCCAACACUUCAGGUGAGCCAAACAGAGAGAGGACCGACAGCUAAAGCACGACAUCCACACAGAUGUAAGAAAGUAAAGACACAAAGAAGAGGAGACGCUGAGGAUCCAGAUCCAAACGUCCAGGGUUGAAAGAGGAGAAGAUGGUCCACCACAGAGAAGUCCGACUCAGCAGAGAGAACAAUUACACUCUGGGAGCGACGGAGAGAAAAAACGUUAUGGACACUCAAGUGCUUGUGGGACUAAAAAAAAAAAUUGGUCGCGAAUAAAAAUGUACAUUAAAUUAGAAGGUAUUUUGGAGUGUCUUUUAAGGCUGUGUUGUUUGUUGUUUGUUCCCAGGGUUGUUACAUAAUUGUGACUUGUUCAUCGACCGUGAGUUUUCUUCGUAAAUGAAUAAACUGCAGACGUUUCACGGUAGUGACACUUCAAAACGCCUGAAAUGACGCACGGAACGUCCUUAAAAAGACCUAUUAUUUAUGGUUCAGAUAAUUAAAACUUUAACAAGGCAAAAUCCAUAAAAGUCACGUUGUGUAAACAUUAAAACAAGCGAAAAGACACCCGCCAAACCUUUGCUUCUUCUGAUGCUGCUAAUGGGCCCAACGAUAAAAGGCUUUUCAGAUUAGUGCUGCAAAAGCAGCUUUAGGAUUCUCCCUGGCUCCAGCUUUAGAAGCCUCCCUCGUUUAAAAAACAUUAAAUCAUUCCAGAAGGAAAAGUGCGAAGAAACUUUAAAAAGUUGAAUUCUAUUGUGAUGUGUGUGCUGUAAAAUGUAUUUUCACGCAUGCAUUUGUUUGUGUGUGUAGAUUUGCAUAUAAGACGACGUGCACGUCUGUCUGUGUCUGAGAUAUUGGUUUAAUUUUAGGCUUUAUGUGACUGUAAAUGAAUGCUAUUGAAUAAAGCGGCUGGAGCUCAUAA